AUUGGUUGCCAAUCAGAGGCUGAAGUGA
RNAcentral lists this non-coding RNA (28 nucleotides) under Homo sapiens (human). Lineage: Eukaryota; Metazoa; Chordata; Mammalia; Primates; Hominidae. The record is from RNAcentral.